Molecule: transfer RNA, 83 nt
Filed under: Abditibacteriota bacterium
Lineage: Bacteria; Pseudomonadati; Abditibacteriota
Description: tRNA-Gln(ctg)
Source: RNAcentral
CACUUUGUCUGGCCGGCUUGGGAGCGUGCGGCGCUCUGUUCGCCGUGGGAAGCAGUGGUCUGUUCAAUUCUGAUGCGUUGUGG